GGCUUAAUACAUGCAAGUCGAGGGGCAGCGGGGGUAGCAAUACCUGCCGGCGACCGGCAAACGGGUGCGGAACACGUACGCAACUUUCCCAAAACUGGUGAAUAGCCUUCCGAAAGGGAGAUUAAUACACCGUAAGAUGUAGGAGUGGCAUCACUCUUAUAUUAUAGCUCCGGCGGUUUUGGAUGGGCGUGCGGCUGAUUAGGUGGUUGGCGGGGUAACGGCCCACCAAGCCUGCGAUCAGUAACUGGUGUGAGAGCACGACCAGUCACACGGGCACUGAGACACGGGCCCGACUCCUACGGGAGGCAGCAGUAAGGAAUAUUGGUCAAUGGACGCAAGUCUGAACCAGCCAUGCCGCGUGCAGGAUGACGGCCCUCUGGGUUGUAAACUGCUUUUAUAGGGGACGAAAAAAGGGCUUUCUAGCUCGUCUGACGGUACCCUAGGAAUAAGCACCGGCUAACUCCGUGCCAGCAGCCGCGGUAAUACGGAGGGUGCAAGCGUUAUCCGGAUUUACUGGGUUUAAAGGGUGCGUAGGUGGGUCGGUAAGUCAGCGGUGAAAUCUUCGAGCUUAACUCGGAAACUGCCAUUGAUACUAUCGAUCUUGAAUCAUCUAGAGGUAAGCGGAAUAUGUCAUGUAGCGGUGAAAUGCUUAGAUAUGACAUAGAACACCAAUUGCGAAGGCAGCUUACUAUGGAUGUAUUGACACUGAGGCACGAAAGCGUGGGGAUCAAACAGGAUUAGAUACCCUGGUAGUCCACGCCCUAAACGAUGGAUACUCGACAUCAGCGAUACACUGUUGGUGUCUGAGCGGAAGCAUUAAGUAUCCCACCUGGGAAGUAC
This 840-nucleotide ribosomal RNA is filed under the name uncultured bacterium. RNAcentral describes it as "bacterial SSU rRNA". It matches the Rfam family "Bacterial small subunit ribosomal RNA", at positions 45 to 883 of the family's 1533-position model. The record is from RNAcentral.